GGAUUGUGGCUCAGAGGUAGAGCACUCGCCUGCCGUGAGUGAGGAACUGGGUUCAAUCCCCAGCACCA
This 68-nucleotide transfer RNA is filed under the name Marmota monax (woodchuck). RNAcentral's name for it is "tRNA.Gly". The stretch from base 5 to 65 matches the Rfam family "tRNA", at positions 6 to 65 of the family's 71-position model. From Rfam's summary of the family: Transfer RNA (tRNA) molecules are approximately 80 nucleotides in length. Their secondary structure includes four short double-helical elements and three loops (D, anti-codon, and T loops). Lineage: Eukaryota; Metazoa; Chordata; Mammalia; Rodentia; Sciuridae. The record is from RNAcentral.